ACGGAGGGGGCAAGCGUUAUUCGGAAUUACUGGGCGUAAAGCGCGCGCAGGUGGUUCGAUAAGUGACAGGUGAAAUCCCUCGGCUUAACCGGGGACCGGCCUUUCAAACUGUCCCGCUAGAGGAUGGGAGGGGAAAGCGGAAUUCCUGGUGUAGCGGUGAAAUUCGUAGAUAUCAGGAGGAACACCGGUGGCGAAGGCGACUAUCUGGCCCUAUACUGACUCUGAGACGCGAGAGCGUGGGUAGCAAACAG
RNAcentral lists this ribosomal RNA (251 nucleotides) under uncultured prokaryote. RNAcentral's name for it is "partial 16S rRNA". It matches the Rfam family "Bacterial small subunit ribosomal RNA", at positions 525 to 775 of the family's 1533-position model. The record is from RNAcentral.